RNAcentral lists this ribosomal RNA (239 nucleotides) under uncultured Eubacteriales bacterium. RNAcentral's name for it is "uncultured Clostridiales bacterium partial 16S ribosomal RNA". It matches the Rfam family "Bacterial small subunit ribosomal RNA", at positions 100 to 339 of the family's 1533-position model. Lineage: Bacteria; Bacillati; Bacillota; Clostridia; Eubacteriales. The record is from RNAcentral.
GGACGGGUGAGUAACGCGUGGGUAACCUGCCUUGUACUGGGGGACAACAGUUGGAAACGACUGCUAAUACCGCAUAAGCGCACAGCUUCGCAUGAAGCGGUGUGAAAAACUCCGGUGGUACAAGAUGGACCCGCGUCUGAUUAGCUGGUUGGUGAGGUAACGGCCCACCAAGGCGACGAUCAGUAGCCGACCUGAGAGGGUGACCGGCCACAUUGGGACUGAGACACGGCCCAGACUCC